Molecule: ribosomal RNA, 467 nt
Filed under: uncultured bacterium
Lineage: Bacteria
Description: partial 16S ribosomal RNA
Rfam family: Bacterial small subunit ribosomal RNA
Source: RNAcentral
ACGAACGCUGGCGGCGUGCUUAACACAUGCAAGUCGAACGGAAAGGCCCUGCUUUUGUGGGGUGCUCGAGUGGCGAACGGGUGAGUAACACGUGAGUAACCUGCCCUUGACUUUGGGAUAACUUCAGGAAACUGGGGCUAAUACCGGAUAGGAGCUCCUGCUGCAUGGUGGGGGUUGGAAAGUUUCGGCGGUUGGGGAUGGACUCGCGGCUUAUCAGCUUGUUGGUGGGGUAGUGGCUUACCAAGGCUUUGACGGGUAGCCGGCCUGAGAGGGUGACCGGCCACAUUGGGACUGAGAUACGGCCCAGACUCCUACGGGAGGCAGCAGUGGGGAAUAUUGCACAAUGGGCGGAAGCCUGAUGCAGCAACGCCGCGUGCGGGAUGACGGCCUUCGGGUUGUAAACCGCUUUCGCCUGUGACGAAGCGUGAGUAACGGUAAUGGGUAAAGAAGCACCGGCUAACUACGUG